AGACACAUGAACACCGACACGUUGAACGCAUAUGGCGCAUCGGACGAUUCAACCCGACCGAUGUACACAUUCUUGAGUGCCUAC
Molecule: ribosomal RNA, 84 nt
Filed under: Anopheles culicifacies C
Lineage: Eukaryota; Metazoa; Arthropoda; Insecta; Diptera; Culicidae
Description: partial 5.8S ribosomal RNA
Source: RNAcentral